RNAcentral lists this transfer RNA (85 nucleotides) under Candidatus Peribacteria bacterium. RNAcentral's name for it is "tRNA-Leu". It matches the Rfam family "tRNA". Rfam says of the family: Transfer RNA (tRNA) molecules are approximately 80 nucleotides in length. Their secondary structure includes four short double-helical elements and three loops (D, anti-codon, and T loops). The record is from RNAcentral. Lineage: Bacteria; Candidatus Peregrinibacteriota; Candidatus Peribacteria.
GCCCGGGUGGUGGAAUUGGUAGACACGCAGGACUUAAAAUCCUGUUACUUCGGUAGUGCGGGUUCGAUUCCCGCCCCGGGCACCA